CGGAGGGUGCAAGCGUUAUCCGGAUUCACUGGGUUUAAAGGGUGCGUAGGUGGGUUGGUAAGUCAGUGGUGAAAUCUCCGAGCUUAACUUGGAAACUGCCAUUGAUACUAUCAGUCUUGAAUAUUGUGGAGGUCAGCGGAAUAUGUCAUGUAGCGGUGAAAUGCUUAGAUAUGACAUAGAACACCAAUUGCGAAGGCAGCUGGCUACACAUAUAUUGGCACUGAGGCACGAAAGCGUGGGGAUCAAACAGGAUUAGAUACCCUGGUAGUCCACGCCCUAAACUAUGGAUACUCGACAUACGCGAUACACAGUGUGUGUCUGAGCGAAAGCAUUAAGUAUCCCACCUGGGAAGUACGAUCGCAAGAUUG
This 368-nucleotide ribosomal RNA is filed under the name uncultured organism. RNAcentral's name for it is "bacterial SSU rRNA". It matches the Rfam family "Bacterial small subunit ribosomal RNA", at positions 526 to 896 of the family's 1533-position model. The record is from RNAcentral.